CCAUGGCGGCCGCGGGAAUUCGAUUAGAGUUUGAUCAUGGCUCAGAUUGAACGCUGGGGGCAGGCCUAACACAUGCAAGUCGAGCGGAUGAGAAGAGCUUGCUCUUCGAUUCAGCGGCGGACGGGUGAGUAAUGCCUAGGAAUCUGCCUGGUAGUGGGGGACAACGUUUCGAAAGGAACGCUAAUACCGCAUACGUCCUACGGGAGAAAGCAGGGGACCUUCGGGCCUUGCGCUAUCAGAUGAGCCUAGGUCGGAUUAGCUAGUUGGUGAGGUAAUGGCUCACCAAGGCGACGAUCCGUAACUGGUCUGAGAGGAUGAUCAGUCACACUGGAACUGAGACACGGUCCAGACUCCUACGGGAGGCACCAGUGGGGAAUAUUGGACAAUGGGCGAAAGCCUGAUCCAGCCAUGCCGCGUGUGUGAAGAAGGUCUUCGGAUUGUAAAGCACUUUAAGUUGGGAGGAAGGGCAGUAAGCGAAUACCUUGCUGUUUUGACGUUACCGACAGAAUAAGCACCGGCUAACUCUGUGCCAGCACCCGCGGUAAUACGAAUCACUAGUGAAUUCGCGGCCGCCUGCAGGUCGACCAUAUGGGAGAGCUCCCAACGCGU
Molecule: ribosomal RNA, 609 nt
Filed under: uncultured Gammaproteobacteria bacterium
Lineage: Bacteria; Pseudomonadati; Pseudomonadota; Gammaproteobacteria
Description: partial 16S ribosomal RNA
Rfam family: Bacterial small subunit ribosomal RNA
Source: RNAcentral